CAGAGGGUAGUUUAUUUAAAAUAUUAAUUUUGGAGAUUAAUGAAAAGAUUUAUCUUUCCUCUGA
RNAcentral lists this transfer RNA (64 nucleotides) under Neostylopyga rhombifolia (harlequin cockroach). RNAcentral describes it as "tRNA-Pro". The record is from RNAcentral. Lineage: Eukaryota; Metazoa; Arthropoda; Insecta; Blattodea; Blattidae.